Molecule: long non-coding RNA, 838 nt
Filed under: Elaeis guineensis (African oil palm)
Lineage: Eukaryota; Viridiplantae; Streptophyta; Magnoliopsida; Arecales; Arecaceae
Description: long non-coding RNA (EGUI_LNC074370)
Source: RNAcentral
UGGAUAGUACAAUAAGAUAGUAUUACCAGAAUAUGCCAUAAGCAUCACUAAGUCAACAUCAUAUCAAUCACUAUAGCAAGCUUUGUGGAUAGCACAACAAACUCAUUAUAAUUUUUGAUAUACUCUAUUGACUUAGUAUGAGCUAAUUAUCAUUAGCUUUAUUAUGCACCAAGAUAGUAUCAAAUCAGUCUCCACAGCAAGCCUUAUGGAUAACACAACAAGCCUACUAUGGAUCUUGACAUAAUACAGGCUUAGCAUGAAGGAAGGCAUGGGUAGUGUUCUUAACACUUCGCCAUUAUGACUUAAUAUAAUUUAAAUGAAAAACUUAGAUCUCAUGCACAUCCUAAAUAUAUAGAAAGGAAUGCAUUAUAUGCAAUUUAAAUUCAAUUCUAACUACCAGCAAGUAAGAGCAUAAAGAGAAAAUCUAAUAGUUAUGGACUUUUAAAAAAUCAUCUGAGCCACAAGAUGAUCUAUGGUUCUAACCCAAGGUAUAUCAUAGAUUGAACCAUCUUAUGGUCAAUCUUAAUGUACCUCUGCUCUUCGAUUAUCUGGUAGUCUAGCCUUCAUCUCCAUGAAGUCUACCAUAAAUAUUUAAUUUUUAUUUAAAAAUAGAAAGAAAUAAUUUUUAUUCAUUCUCAAAUAAUUUUUUUUUAUUAUUUUAUAUUAAUAUGUAAAAAAUUUCAAUCAACAGUUGAGAAUAUACAAAAGAAAGGUUCAGCGAUAAUACAAUGCAUCAGGAGCAUCCAGCCCCUAUUGCAACUCUUGUAGAUACAUUUAUUUAUUCAGCUUAUAGGGAAGCAUUCAUACACACAUCCAUCAUAUGGAUGUACCAUAGUCC